AUACAUGCAAGUCGAACGAUACCAGAGAGCUUGCUUUCUGGGAAAGUGGCGCACGGGUGCGUAACGCGUAUGCAACCUACCUUAAUCAGGGGGAUAGCCUCUCGAAAGAGAGAUUAACACCGCAUAACAUCAUUUUACGGCUUCGUAGAAUGAUCAAAUAUUUAUAGGAUUAAGAUGGGCAUGCGUGACAUUAGUUUGUUGGUGAGGUAAUGGCUCACCAAGACUACGAUGUCUAGGGGAUCUGAGAGGAUUACCCCCCACACUGGUACUGAGACACGGACCAGACUCCUACGGGAGGCAGCAGUAAGGAAUAUUGGUCAAUGGGGGCAACCCUGAACCAGCCAUGCCGCGUGCAGGAAGACGGCCCUACGGGUUGUAAACUGCUUUUAUACGGGAAUAAACCUCACUACGUGUAGUGAGCUGAAUGUACUGUAAGAAUAAGGAUCGGCUAACUCCGUGCCAGCAGCCGCGGUAAUACGGAGGAUCCAAGCGUUAUCCGGAUUUAUUGGGUUUAAAGGGUGCGUAGGCGGCCUAUUAAGUCAGGGGUGAAAGACGGUGGCUCAACCAUCGCAGUGCCUUUGAUACUGAUAGGCUUGAUUACACUUGAGGUAGGCGGAAUGUGACAAGUAGCGGUGAAAUGCAUAGAUAUGUCACAGAACACCAAUUGCGAAGGCAGCUUACUAAGGUGUUAAUGACGCUGAGGCACGAAAGCGUGGGGAUCAAACAGGAUUAGAUACCCUGGUAGUCCACGCCCUAAACGAUGAAUACUCGAUGUUAGCGAUAUACAGUUAGCGUC
Molecule: ribosomal RNA, 796 nt
Filed under: uncultured Bacteroidota bacterium
Lineage: Bacteria; Pseudomonadati; Bacteroidota
Description: bacterial SSU rRNA
Rfam family: Bacterial small subunit ribosomal RNA
Source: RNAcentral